RNAcentral lists this ribosomal RNA (874 nucleotides) under Escherichia coli. RNAcentral describes it as "partial 23S ribosomal RNA". It matches the Rfam family "Bacterial large subunit ribosomal RNA", at positions 589 to 1462 of the family's 2925-position model. The record is from RNAcentral. Lineage: Bacteria; Pseudomonadati; Pseudomonadota; Gammaproteobacteria; Enterobacterales; Enterobacteriaceae.
GCGUGUGACUGCGUACCUUUUGUAUAAUGGGUCAGCGACUUAUAUUCUGUAGCAAGGUUAACCGAAUAGGGGAGCCGAAGGGAAACCGAGUCUUAACUGGGCGUUAAGUUGCAGGGUAUAGACCCGAAACCCGGUGAUCUAGCCAUGGGCAGGUUGAAGGUUGGGUAACACUAACUGGAGGACCGAACCGACUAAUGUUGAAAAAUUAGCGGAUGACUUGUGGCUGGGGGUGAAAGGCCAAUCAAACCGGGAGAUAGCUGGUUCUCCCCGAAAGCUAUUUAGGUAGCGCCUCGUGAAUUCAUCUCCGGGGGUAGAGCACUGUUUCGGCAAGGGGGUCAUCCCGACUUACCAACCCGAUGCAAACUGCGAAUACCGGAGAAUGUUAUCACGGGAGACACACGGCGGGUGCUAACGUCCGUCGUGAAGAGGGAAACAACCCAGACCGCCAGCUAAGGUCCCAAAGUCAUGGUUAAGUGGGAAACGAUGUGGGAAGGCCCAGACAGCCAGGAUGUUGGCUUAGAAGCAGCCAUCAUUUAAAGAAAGCGUAAUAGCUCACUGGUCGAGUCGGCCUGCGCGGAAGAUGUAACGGGGCUAAACCAUGCACCGAAGCUGCGGCAGCGACGCUUAUGCGUUGUUGGGUAGGGGAGCGUUCUGUAAGCCUGUGAAGGUGUGCUGUGAGGCAUGCUGGAGGUAUCAGAAGUGCGAAUGCUGACAUAAGUAACGAUAAAGCGGGUGAAAAGCCCGCUCGCCGGAAGACCAAGGGUUCCUGUCCAACGUUAAUCGGGGCAGGGUGAGUCGACCCCUAAGGCGAGGCCGAAAGGCGUAGUCGAUGGGAAACAGGUUAAUAUUCCUGUACUUGGUGUUACUGCGAAGG